CUAAACAGAACACAAAAUCAAAAGCAUCUGAAUCAAGGAUUCCAAACCAUGAAGUCUGAGUACUCAAAAUGACACAAGAUCAAGUUCACUCAUCCCAGUUCCUUAGGGAUCGCAGCAUACAUAUGGGAAGUCACUGUGAAUCUCUUGCUGCUUUAAAUUAUUCCAGCCUGGGCCUCAGAACACCUACACGCUGACCUCUUGGGCCUAAAGUCAGUGGAGCCUGAAAGCUGGAAGUCCUUGACUGGUGGCAGCAGAGAGAAAAUCAUCACCUGCUCAGUCACAAACACGCGGCACCUGCAUCACUGUUUGUUAAAUAAGAUCAGCUAAUAGUUGCACAGCGGCUCUUCAAAGCUUCAUGAAAGAAUUAAUGAAGGUUUUAUAGAUGCCGUUUCUCCACAGCAGCCUUGGACUUCGGCUCUGGAAUUUAAUGUUAUUCACCUCAGUACGUGAUUCAGAAAACAACCAUCUGAAGUUAGCAUUGUAAAUUGCACAACCCAGGGAAAAGCAUGUAAGAACAGGAGAUAAGAUAUUCUUGAUCAAGGAGAUCUGGCUGUGGAACCAACUUCCAGAAGAGACGAGACCAAGGCCUUGUCUACCUUACACAGUUUUGUUAGCAAACGGCAGCAUUUGCCGACAAAACAGUGGAGGUGCACACAUUACAAAGCUACUUUGGGCGGCAAAACUCUGCUGUUUUCCUGACAAAAUA
Mauremys reevesii (Reeves's turtle) is the source of this 706-nucleotide long non-coding RNA. RefSeq lists it as uncharacterized. The transcript has 3 exons. The record is from RefSeq and is a predicted model, not a curated record. NCBI's taxonomy places the organism in Eukaryota, Metazoa, Chordata, Testudines, Geoemydidae.